RNAcentral lists this ribosomal RNA (400 nucleotides) under uncultured bacterium. RNAcentral's name for it is "bacterial SSU rRNA". It matches the Rfam family "Bacterial small subunit ribosomal RNA", at positions 356 to 773 of the family's 1533-position model. The record is from RNAcentral.
GGGGAAUCUUGGACAAUGGGCGCAAGCCUGAUCCAGCCAUGCCGCGUGAGUGAUGAAGGCCCUAGGGUUGUAAAACUCUUUCGUGGGGGACGAUAAUGACGGUACCCCAAGAAGAAGCUCCGGCUAACUUCGUGCCAGCAGCCGCGGUAAUACGAAGGGGGCUAGCGUUGUUCGGAUUUACUGGGCGUAAAGCGCGUGUAGGCGGGUCGUUAAGUUGGGGGUGAAAUCCCGGAGCUCAACUCCGGAACUGCCUUCAAAACUGGCGACCUGGACUCAAGCAGAGGCAAGUGGAAUUGCGAGUGUAGAGGUGAAAUUCGUAGAUAUUCGCAGGAACACCAGUGGCGAAGGCGACUUGCUGGGCUUGUAGUGACGCUGAGACGCGAAAGCGUGGGGAGCAAAC